This is a long non-coding RNA of Cyprinus carpio (common carp), 1004 nucleotides long. RefSeq lists it as uncharacterized. The transcript is spliced from 5 exons. NCBI's taxonomy places the organism in Eukaryota, Metazoa, Chordata, Actinopteri, Cypriniformes, Cyprinidae. The record is from RefSeq and is a predicted model, not a curated record.
UGACACAGCUAAGACCCGAGAGUCUCUUUCAAGACACUGAAUUUGAGCAGAAACCAUAAGGAUAUUCAAAGGACCUGUGACUCUCAGGAAAUGCAUCAAAUGAGAGUGACAGGUGAAACCGUUUCAAGACAAUGGCAGGAAAAGCAUGCUGAAGAUUGAACCAAACCUUGGCUGGAAAUAUUUGAAGGGAUCUAGCCAGUCCACAAUGAAAGCUUCGUUGCCCCCCUGUGAGUCUUCUGGCAGAAAUGAUGGCGCCUGUAUCAUCACAUCACAUCGUGUUUAUACGAGGCUCUUCAAUUAAGUCUGCACCCAAAGAUUCAAUAAGAGAGGGGAUCCUGCCAGUCCAAAGUGAACUCCUGAUGGACAUUGAAGUACUCCUGCAGAGCUUGUAUCUUCGACCCCAUGCGCAUUAGAAACUCCACUGAGUGCUUUCCUUCACCAAGGCAGGACCCAGUGACUCAUUACUAUUGAUCGGUCAGGGGCAGGUCAUUUUUUGUUUCAUGUUUAUUCAUUUCUCCAUGGAUUACCAGCCAUAUAUAUGGACACAUGCUGUAUUCUCAAGAUCUAUGCUGUUUGGUAGGAAUAGAGAAAAUUAUAUGUUUAGUCUGUUUUCAAAUGGUAUGUCAAAUUUUCUCAUUGUUUAUCAGAAAUAUUCACUACCUUGGUUAUAUAUGAGCAUCAAUAGAUUUUUCUAUAUUUAGCGGUUGCAAAUGUAAAAUGUACGGUAAACUAUUUAUGUUCCUCAUAUUGUACUGUAUUUUUAGCAGAAAAAUACCGGCAGCUGUGGUUGCCAGGAAUUUACCGUAAAAUGUAUCUGGUCAAAAUAAAAUGCAGUAAUUUGUUAUACAAUUUCACUGUCUUUUUUACUGUCAAAGGUUUUAAUAAGGUUUAACAUAUUUCUGUUAUUUUUACAGUUAUUUACCAUAAUAGGGUCUAUCCUAUUACUGUUAAAUUAACAACAAAUUACUGUAUAUAUUAUUAUAUUAUAACUUUUUUUUUACUGC